ACGGAAUUCCUUACUUUCCUUUUGUUCGAAACCAAACCCUAGAAAUCCUAUACUUUUCAUCUAGCCGGCAUUUUUCCAAUCCCUCUACAAUGGCGAGGAAGAGAAAAGCAGCACUGCCAAAAGUUGAAGUAGCAGAAAAGAAGUCAAAAGUAGUAGAAGAAGAACAUGACACAUCUGAAGAAGAAGUAGAAUCAGAAGAGGAGGUGGAAGAAGAGGAGGAGGUGGAAGAAGAAAGCGAGGGUUCGAAAAGAGAGACACUUAGGAAACUUCUUGAACCCUUCGGCAAAGACCAGAUCAUUGAAUUCCUCAAAGAAGCCGCGGUCAAGAACCGAUCGAUCGCUACACGAAUCAACCAAUCGGCCGAAUCCGACCCUGUUCACCGAAAGAUAUUCGUCCACGGCCUCGGCUGGGACGCCACCACUGACCAAGUCCUUUCUAUCUUCAAACAGUACGGAGAGAUUGAAGAAUGCAAAGUUGUCACAGACCAGGUCACCGGUCGAGCCAAGGGCUAUGGAUUCGUCCUUUUCAAGACUCGAGAUGGCGCCCAAAAGGCCCUCAAACAGCGCCAAAAGAAGAUCGGCAACCGAAUGACCUCGUGUCAGCUCGCUUCCGCUGGACCCGUCCCGAGCCACCCUGUUCCGGACUCCACAGGACGGAAAAUUUAUGUGGCCAACGUAGGUCCCCAUGUCAACCCCGAUAAGCUUCGUUCAUUCUUUGCUAGGUUUGGGGAGAUCGAGGAAGGUCCCUUAGGGCAUGACCCGGUUACUGGGAGACUCAAAGGAUUCGCAAUUUUCGUCUACAAGUCUGCAGAAGGCGGUAAGAAGGCACUGGAAGAGACUACAAAGGUCUUUGAAGGUUGUCAAUUACAGUGUCGGCGUGCUGUGGAAGGCCUCCGGGUCAAUAAGAAUCAAACAACAGGUGUAUCGGGUAUCUCUAGUGGUGCCGCUGUACAGCAGACUGAUGUUAAUAUUGUGAAUUAUGGUGUUGGUGUGAACCCGGGAAUGUUUGGUCAUAGUGUGAAUCCGGCUGCUGUUCUGGUCGGUCAGACUCCUGGGAUUGGUUUGGCAAAUCCGGUGCUGGCAUCAGCUUUGAAUCCGACUGCGCUGGCCCCCUCACUUGCUACUGGGUUUUCUCCCUCGAUUGGGGCAGCCGCAACUUUGGGAUUCAGUGGAAAUUAUAACAUCAAUAGCAUAAGCCCAAGUGUGAUAGGUAGUUAUGGCUCACAAGCGGCUUUGCAGGGUCUGGGUGCCUACCAGAGUGCUCAAAUGGGACAUUCUUCUGCUGGGUUAACGGUGGCUGCUGCUUCAAGGCCUCCAUCCGGUUUUGGGCCCACAGGAACUACCUUACACCCCUACUUUGGCCGCUAGAGGUACCAAGGAAUUUGUGGUUCUUCACACUUGAAGGGGAUUGCUGAAUCACUUGUCAUUCAAGAGCCGGAGAUGCGAUUCUUAAGUUUAACGUCUAGGGUGGUGGUUAAUGUCAUCUUGGAUUAGAGUUAUUUUGUGAUGGCUAGGUAGUUUGGUGGCUGCAUUAUUGGCUUUUUUGACUUGUUUAUGUUACCAAGGCUGUUGUGGCUCUUCACACUUGAAGGGGAUUGCUGAAUCUCUACUGGGUGGUCAUUGAAAAGCAGGAGGCCUCAUAUUAUUAGCCUAAACUAUGAAAUAUCUCUCAGGGAACACCUUUGUUAUUUUGUUUCUUGUUUAAACUUCUGUUGCUUUGAGUAUUCUCUCUCUCACCCCCCACCCACCCACCCCAUAUUAUUAGUUGGUCACAGAUCCCGAGGCAGCUGACCAAACAAGGCUCCUGCCUGUUCGAUUACACGAAUUCACACUCUCCUUAGCCCAUUCAAACUUAGGGCCCUUAAAAACUUGGUGAUUAAAUUUGAAAUUGAAUAUGGCCCUUUACAACUCAGGCCCUUGAAAACUUGGUGAUUAAAUUUGAAAUUGAAUAUGGCCCUUUACAACUCAGGGCCCUUGAAAACUUGGUGAUUAAAUUCAAAAAUGAAUGUGGCCCUCUACUACUUUAUGUGUAUCUUAGUGUGUAUUUCAGUAGUUAACUCUUAAGUUAAAUGCGGUCUUUUACUAAUUUUAUGUGUUAAUAUGUAUGUAUGUCAGUAAUUACUUUGAAAUUGAAUGCAGUCUUUUAUUAUUGGGGUAGAUAAUAUAUUUUUUUACGAAAGUGGAAUAAAUAUAAGUUAGUUAUGUAUUACUUAUAUAAUUGAUUUGAUAUCGUAAUGUCUCAGAUUUUUUGACAUUUUUUAUUUAAAUUUUCCUUGUCUCGUUUAGCAUGCCACGUGGGUCGUUCGGGGCAUUUUCUUGAACUCAGGAGUUUUAGAUAUGUAUUUUGAGUAUUUUUAGCAUGUUAGAAUUUACGGGAUUGAUUUUAGAGUUAGUCGGAGUCGGGACGACUUUUGUGCUCGGGAAUUUCUCCCGAUUUUUUCCAUUUUUGUUUAAAUGUUGUAUUUGACAUGAUUUAUAUAUAUGUGCGUAUAUAUAUAAUGUAGAUAUUUUUGGGACAAGUUAGGAAGAAGAAAGUCAUUUAGAGGGCAAUGGAGUAACUUUAGCACCAAAGGAUUUGAGUAACUUUAGCACCAAAGGACCACCAAGUGACACUUGGCACCAUGAGGGCCACAUAUGCAAUUUGAAGACUUUGCCAAACCCUUCUCCUUCUUCCAUUUUCAGCCAUCACCUCUCUCUCUACAAUUUCUUAUUCUCUGUCUAUAUCUUUGUAUACACACAUGUAUGCAUCUUGCCUCAAGCUUCAAGCUCACUUUUGAGGCAUUUAGAGUUGCUCAAUCUCGCCUCGGUAAAGUCGGUUAGUAGAUUUUUGGUGUGAGUUGGGUCGGUUUGGGACCAAGGUUGGGACGGUCAUGCAUUGCAUUGCAUUGCAUUUUCAUGCAAUCGGAUGAGAAAUUGUGUCAUGGCAAAUAAAUCAUGGACGACGUACCACUGCAAGUGUAGGCGUGGAGGAAGAAUUCGUCUUUAGUAACUUUUGUAACAAUGCUUAGUUGAUGGCUAGUAUUUUUUAUAAAGAUGACCUUAAGAAUCUCAAGCAUGUAUCUCUAUUCUUUUGGGACUACUUUUGACGUAUUUUGAAAAGAAACAAUGUUUAAUGAUGUA
This is an RNA transcript of Cornus florida, 3119 nucleotides long. It is a transcript of the gene named UBP1-associated protein 2A-like, with no coding region annotated. Lineage: Eukaryota; Viridiplantae; Streptophyta; Magnoliopsida; Cornales; Cornaceae. The record is from RefSeq and is a predicted model, not a curated record. The transcript has 3 exons.